CUCCAGGGACUGACAGAUGCUGAGGAA
This 27-nucleotide non-coding RNA is filed under the name Homo sapiens (human). The record is from RNAcentral. Lineage: Eukaryota; Metazoa; Chordata; Mammalia; Primates; Hominidae.